This 71-nucleotide transfer RNA is filed under the name Marmota monax (woodchuck). Its description in RNAcentral is "tRNA.Ala". Lineage: Eukaryota; Metazoa; Chordata; Mammalia; Rodentia; Sciuridae. The record is from RNAcentral.
GAGGUUGUGGCUCAGCGGUAGAGCACUCCUCUAGCAUGUGCGAGGCCCUGGGUUCAAUCCUCAGCACCACA